RNAcentral lists this ribosomal RNA (460 nucleotides) under uncultured bacterium. Its description in RNAcentral is "partial 16S ribosomal RNA". It matches the Rfam family "Bacterial small subunit ribosomal RNA", at positions 338 to 795 of the family's 1533-position model. The record is from RNAcentral.
CCUACGGGAGGCAGCAGUGAGGAAUAUUGGUCAAUGGACGAGAGUCUGAACCAGCCAAGUAGCGUGAAGGAUGACUGCCCUAUGGGUUGUAAACUUCUUUUAUAUGGGAAUAAAAUGUUCCACGUGUGGGAUUUUGUAUGUACCAUAUGAAUAAGGAUCGGCUAACUCCGUGCCAGCAGCCGCGGUAAUACGGAGGAUUCGAGCGUUAACCGGAUUUAUUGGGUUUAAAGGGAGCGUAGGUGGAUUGUUCAGUCAGGUGGGAAAGUUUGAGGCUCAACCGUAAAAUUGCAGUUGAAACUGGCAUUCUUGAGUACAGUAGAGGUGGGCGGAAUUCGUGGUGUAGCGGUGAAAUGCUUAGAUAUCACGAAGAACUCCGAUUGCGAAGGCAGUUCACUGGAGUGUAACUGACACUGAGGCUCGAAAGUGUGGGUAUCAAACAGGAUUAGAUACCCGAGUAGUC